GACUAACGCUGGCGGCGUGCUUAACACAUGCAAGUCGAACGGAAAGUCCCUGCUUUUGUGGGGUGCUCGAGUGGCGAACGGGUGAGUAACACGUUAGUAACCUGCCCUUGACUUUGGGAUAACUUCAGGAAACUGGGGCUAAUACCGGAUAGGAGCUCCUGCUGCAUGGUGGGUGUUGGAAAGUUUCGGCGGUUGGUGAUGGACUCGCGGCUUAUCAGCUUGUUGGUGGGGUAGUGGCUUACCAAGGCUUUGACGGGUAGCCGGCCUGAGAGGGUGACCGGCCACAUUGGGACUGAGAUACGGCCCAGACUCCUACGGGAGGCAGAAGUGGGGAAUAUUGCACGAUGGGCGGAAGACUGAUGCAGCAACGCCGCGUGCGGGAGGACGGACUUCGGGUUGUAAACCGCUUUCGCCUGUGACGAAGCGUGAGUGACGGUAAUGGGUAAAGAAGCACCGGCUAACUACGUG
This 468-nucleotide ribosomal RNA is filed under the name uncultured bacterium. Its description in RNAcentral is "partial 16S ribosomal RNA". It matches the Rfam family "Bacterial small subunit ribosomal RNA", at positions 28 to 507 of the family's 1533-position model. The record is from RNAcentral.